UUCCGGUAGGUCGCCAGCUGAGGCGGUUUGUAAGUUUUGGGUCGCAGUAUGCUAGAAUUUUGAGGCUCCCUUCUGAUGAAAAUUGAGCUGUCCAUGCAGCCAUGGAACCCGGGUUACAGCAGUGAGGGGGCCACGGCUCAAGAAACUUACACAUGUCCAAAAAUGAUUGAGAUGGAGCAGGCGGAGGCCCAGCUUGCUGAGUUAGACCUGCUAGCCAGUAUGUUCCCUGGUGAGAAUGAGCUCAUAGUGAAUGACCAGCUGGCUGUAGCAGAACUGAAAGAUUGUAUUGAAAAGAAGACAAUGGAGGGGCGAUCUUCAAAAGUCUACUUUACUAUCAAUAUGAACCUGGAUGUAUCUGACGAAAAAAUGAUCAGUAUUAUUGAGUAGAUCCCAGCAGACUCAGCUGAACACAGAUCUGACUGCAUUCCUGCAAAAACAUUGUCAUGGAGAUGUUUGUAUACUGAAUGCCACAGAGUGGGUUAGAGAACACGCCUCUGGCUAUGUCAGCAGAGAUACUUCAUCUUCACCCACCACAGGAAGCACAGUCCAGUCAGUUGACCUCAUCUUCACGAGACUCUGGAUCUACAGCCAUCAUAUCUAUAACAAAUGCAAAAGAAAGAAUAUUCUAGAGUGGGCAAAGGAGCUUUCCCUGUCUGGGUUUAGCAUGCCUGGAAAACCUGGUGUUGUUUGUGUGGAAGGCCCACAAAGUGCCUGUGAAGAAUUCUGGUCAAGACUCAGAAAAUUAAACUGGAAGAGAAUUUUAAUUCGCCAUCGAGAAGACAUUCCUUUUGAUGGUACAAAUGAUGAAACGGAAAGACAAAGGAAAUUUUCCAUUUUUGAAGAAAAAGUGUUCAGUGUUAAUGGAGCCAGGGGAAACCACAUGGACUUUGGUCAGCUCUAUCAGUUCUUAAACACCAAAGGAUGUGGGGAUGUUUUCCAGAUGUUCUUUGGUGUAGAAGGACAAUGACAUCAAGAGUAGUUGAAAGUAUCUUGCCACUGUUGGCCUUUUGAUUUUUUUUUCCCACUUUUUCUUGAAAGAUUAAGUAAUUUUAUUUUAGUUCCAUUCUAGAAUGUUGGGGAGUGGGGCACAAGAAAAAAUAGUAUAGCUGAAAUGCAUCUGUUAAAAAUGUCAUGAUUGAAAGCAGAACUGAGUUUCAAAUUACAACCUUAAAAUUGUUGUUAGAUAUUUCUUCACAUAUCAGCUGCCCAUUUUGAAAAAGAAAUUAUCCAUAAAGGUAAUGUUGGUGCUCCAAUUUGCCAGCCAUUCCCAACCCCCUUCUCCCUUACCUGCCUUCACUAAAGAACCCAGAAAAGCUAAUUGCUCCCCUUUCAGCCUCUGUUGCAACUAACAACUCUCAGUGGCCUCAGGACACAGCUUUGGCCUUGGGAAUUCUGGGAAAACUUUUACUUCCUGAUUAAAGAUACAUAUGCAGCUAGGCCACCUCCUCCCCCCCUUACUGCCAUAAACACCAAAGUGAUGACUGGAGCUGGAGGAGUUAUUUGAACCACGACGAAGGGCCAAGAGAACCACGAAGAUGCCAGUUGCCACAUUGUUGAGCUGCUGACCCAACACCAGCCAUUGCCUGUCUCUAAACAUCUUAUGAAAUAAAACCAGUUUUGUUUAA
This 1625-nucleotide unclassified non-coding RNA is filed under the name Homo sapiens (human). RNAcentral's name for it is "RWD domain containing 2B (ENSG00000291523.1)". Lineage: Eukaryota; Metazoa; Chordata; Mammalia; Primates; Hominidae. The record is from RNAcentral.